Molecule: long non-coding RNA, 443 nt
Filed under: Salvator merianae (Argentine black and white tegu)
Lineage: Eukaryota; Metazoa; Chordata; Lepidosauria; Squamata; Teiidae
Description: lncRNA (ENSSMRG00000008763.1)
Source: RNAcentral
GGGGAGACGAAGGGGGGCUUCCUGAGAGGGCAGGGGGAGGGGGGCAAGGAGGGGGGAACUGGAGGGCGGAAGGGAGGGGGAGCGCGUGCUGGAAGAGAGUCGCUGGGAAGACUUGUCUUGUUUUCUUUGAGGGGGGAGGCGUCCGUGCCCCCCCCCCGCCAUUCCAGAUCAGCGCCGGCUGGGCGAAGAGCCCCUCGCUGGCUCCGUGGAAUUCCGCGCCCCCGGGGCCCGCNGCCCGGUUUGCCGCCCUAAGAACCUUGCCAGGUGUUUGUGGGUCUGAGAAGUCUGGCAUGAACUCUUCAAAGGGAUCCCUGAAAUCCAUAAGGAAACAGAAGGGAUCUCUACUGCAUGGAACUCCGUAUGACCAACUGCUUCAUGCAUGACCCUUGAAUCUGGUAUGGUGUGUCCCUAACUCUGUUCUAUGAAUAAAGAUACAACUGUAA